GACGAACGCUGGCGGCGUGCUUAACACAUGCGAGUCGAACGGAAAGGCCCUGCUUUUGUGGGGUGCUCGAGUGGCGAACGGGUGAGUAACACGUGAGUAACCUGCCCUUGACUUUGGGAUAACUUCAGGAAACUGGGGCUAAUACCGGAUAGGAGCUCCUGCUGCAUGGUGGGGGUUGGAAAGUUUCGGCGGUUGGGGAUGGACUCGCGGCUUAUCAGCUUGUUGGUGGGGUAGUGGCUUACCAAGGCUUUGACGGGUAGCCGGCCUGAGAGGGUGACCGGCGACGUCGGUGGCGGCACCGGGCCCAGAGGGCGCCGGGGGGGAGUAGGGGGGAAGGACGCGGCGGGGGCGAAGGCCUGACGCCGCAGUGCGGCGGGGGGUAGGGCGCGCGUGGGUGUUAAGCCGCUUGGCCGGGGGGAGGAAGGGUGGGUGGGGGAAAGGAAAAAAUAACCCCCGGCAAACAACGCGCCAGCUGCGGCUUAAAGAUCGAACAGCACACACCUACC
RNAcentral lists this ribosomal RNA (506 nucleotides) under uncultured bacterium. Its description in RNAcentral is "partial 16S ribosomal RNA". The stretch from base 15 to 371 matches the Rfam family "Bacterial small subunit ribosomal RNA", at positions 42 to 397 of the family's 1533-position model. The record is from RNAcentral.